UAAUAAUCAUCAUACAAGGAGAUUGAACCAGAAGUAGAGGACGACCUUGCAGAACUAGUACUAGAAUCUGAAUAAGAUUUGGGAUUUGAUUCACUGGAAACAGAAUCCGAGUCUGAUUCACUAGAACUGGACAUAGAAUCUGAUUCAUCAUGACUAGAUCUUGAAGAAGAAGUGUGUUCACUAGCAUGCCCACUAGUAUGGCCUCUUCUUAAUGAUCUAAAUGAAUAAGAGAUUG
Non-coding RNA from Schizosaccharomyces pombe (fission yeast), 235 nucleotides. NCBI's taxonomy places the organism in Eukaryota, Fungi, Ascomycota, Schizosaccharomycetes, Schizosaccharomycetales, Schizosaccharomycetaceae. The record is from the annotation of a GenBank genome assembly.